Melospiza melodia melodia is the source of this 776-nucleotide long non-coding RNA. RefSeq lists it as uncharacterized. The transcript is spliced from 5 exons. Lineage: Eukaryota; Metazoa; Chordata; Aves; Passeriformes; Passerellidae. The record is from RefSeq and is a predicted model, not a curated record.
UCUCCAGAGCCAUCCCCAGCAGAGUGCAAAGUGAUGUACUUCUCAUCCAGUGCACGUCAUGGUGAGGGAUGAGGCGUGAGUCACUUCCCCCGUGGGCAGUGGUGACCGACUGCCUCUGCUGCCUGUGGAGCUGCCACACCAGAGCUGGGCGCACGAGGAAUCACCACCUCCCAUCAGCUCUCUGGUGACAACAUGAUGUAAAAGCAGUUUAUUAAGCUGCAAGAUGAAAGACUUUUACAGCUCAUAAAGGAGGAAAGCUCAUAAGAAGACAAGGUUCUAAUUCCAGGACACUGCUGCAUGCAGUUGAGUCUAUGCUGGUCACAGCAGAUUCCUGACACUGUGAGAAAGGAUUCUGCUCUUCUUCUGCUGCAUGGUCUCCAUACAGGCCUCCAAACUGAGCUGAACUUCUGCAAAGCAAGAAAAGACAAACUUUCAUUUAAAAAUAAACAAAAACUUGUUGGAGAGUUACUUUGCCUGUGCCAAGGAAUUUAAACCAUGGGAUUUCACAUCUGAGAUGUUGUUUUCAAGAUUUGAUAUGUUCCCUAAAAGCUCACUGAGGAUUGAGCAAUCUUGGAAGCUUUCUGAAAAAACCCUGUCUGAGAAGAUAAUUAGCCCAAAUUGCAGUAUUUCAUUGCAAUUGUUUAGUGAAGAACUAGAUAACUGCAAACGAACACGAUGAACACAUUAAAAAGAGCAGCAUUGAUGAUUGGACUGAAACCCAGUGGAGAGAGAUUAAUGUGGAACAGAUGGAUUUGCAGCUCAGAAGGUUUGCCAAG